Molecule: long non-coding RNA, 2308 nt
Organism: Brassica napus (rape)
Lineage: Eukaryota; Viridiplantae; Streptophyta; Magnoliopsida; Brassicales; Brassicaceae
Exons: 5
Source: RefSeq, a predicted model, not a curated record
AAUAAUGGAAAGAGGAUCUGAUCGCUUAGCUUUAAUCACAUGAAAAAAUUGGCAAUAUGGGUCGUGGCCAAGUUUGCAAUUUGCCCUUUGGAUCCGUGAAUGUUUUUUUGUUGUCUUUAUGUGAAAACAAGUUCUUAACGUCUGAAGCGUAAAAGCAUUAUUAUUUUUGUGUAGAUAAAUAAUAAAGAACUUUGAUUCUAAUUUUGUUAAGCUUCUGAGAAUCACAAAGACACAACUUAUUUUCCUCUGGAUGGUUUGCUUAUCCAUUUACUUUAAUAUGAUUUCUGAAUCAAAAUCUAUGCGUUUUUGACCACACACUUAUCAUAUUAGUUUGUAUUAUUAUUGCAUAAUGAGGGUUCAAAGUUAGUAGAGUUUGCUACCAUGUGAAUUGUAUAGUCAGAAACAAACUUGUCAAGAUCAUGUUUAGAAGUUUAGAAGUUUUUCGUUUUUUUUAAGGCAAGUUUUAUGAUAAGAUAAAAAAAUACAUGGAAAAUCAGAAAAUAUAAUGAAAUGAUGAUUUCUGAACCGGACCGGUGAUUUUGCAUUGGUCCUGGAUUUUACGCCUAGCCCAAUCUAUAACCUUGAGCUCUGUUUAUCUUCAGUCUUAUAGUUUUAAUGGUUUCUCUAAUUUAUCUGGUCUAGGGUCUCCAGAACACUAUUCUCUUAUCGGGCAUCCAUACUGCUGAAACACGUCGCAGUUCAUUGCAUGUCUUAUACAAUAAAUAAGACUUUUGUCUCUCCUUAAGGUGUCUACAUCAGCAAGGAGGGAGGGACAUUUUCUGACACGUGGCACGUUAAUUAUUUUCUGAUUUCAAAUGCUUUUGUUAUUUCUAGCGGGCUGGGCCUAUUGUUUUGUCUUUGUUUAAAAAUAGAUUUAUUUUCGUUUGGGCUUCGUUUAAUUUGUCUUUAUAUUACUGUUAUACUAAUUUUAACUAGGCUUUUAAGUUGUAGCCCGGUUUAACCAUAAUCUUUUUCAUCUCUUAGAAACUGUAGGCCUACCGAUUCCCUUUCACUUUCUCCUGCGAUGUAACGAUGUAGUUAUGACCUUUAAUCACGUUAUCCCACUAAACUCACAACCACCCCUCUUCAUUGCUUCUUUAAUUACACAUUUUAAAGCUUAAUUUUGUGUAUAUCUACACCUUCUGAGAGCCCCCUGCAAUUCCCUUACUUUCAUAAAACCUAUAAAUAUAUCGCCCAUGUUCUCUUUUAAUGGACGAUAGUUGGCAAUUUCUCAGUUUUAUUUCUCUGAUUUGAGUGAGGCGGCUACAAACAGUCAGUUCAGGCAAGAUGCCUAUGUGUUUCUCGGAAGCCAAUAAAGUAAUGAAAAGAGGAUAGACAAAUCCAGGAAUCAAUUAAUGUGCAACUAUUCAACACCUUAAAAAAAUGAAGUAUCUAGCUUAAUGUUUUGUAUUUCAUAUGAAGGAGCAACCCUUACUUCCGGUUUGGAGAAAUCCAUGUUUCUAUUAGAUUUACGGAGCAAACCGUGUUUGUUGAGGUCGCUGAAACCGAUUCCAGUGGAGAGUUUUGGGUUUUGCAAUUACUAACACCUUAUGGUAUUGGCCAACACCAACACAGAUUUUUUUUUCCAGGCCGCCUUUUCCUCAAUGCAACCUCCGGAACACAUUUCUACUUUUACCAAGAAAGUGUAACCAGCCAGAGCUUUCUACAAGACUAAGUUUUGUGGAUCUGACAUUGAUAGCUCCUCCACUCCUUCCAAGUAUGGCGGUGUACAGAAAAUUGAGUUAGCAACAAUUGUGGAGUUUAUUGUCUGUGUCGUGAAUUCACCACCUCAGGCGGUACGGUAGAAUUCCACUGCACUGGCCAAGUCGAUGACAUUGAGAAAACUGACGGACCAAUGCUUCAUCAUUAAAGCUUUGCUUACAAGGAGGUGGUGACUACCCUGGAAAUGAUAUUCUGGAUGCUGUGACUCUCACUAUUAACCCUCUCAUGUGAUGGGGAGCAGUGGUUCACAUAAUACCACAUGAAGUAACACUGCUCCAAUUUUUGAAGGAAGCAUGGCUGAGUCAGCAGUACUACCUGCCCAACCUGAUGCAUUUUUAGCACCCGAAAGGAUACCACAGAGCCUGAGAUCUCCAACCAUAGAGAUCCAUGACAAUAUUAAUAUAGGUGAAGAACUAAUUCCACACUGAACGUGCUAAGUUUGAGUCAAUAAUUUUUCUACAUUAUAUAGAUUGUCGUCUUUUUAGUUUGCUUGGUUAUAUACUUAUAUCAUAUAUAAAUACGUUGAUCUCAUUACUGUAGGAAUUUUUUACGGCUCUAGCUAUUACAUAUUCCUAAAAUUGUUUAA